RNAcentral lists this ribosomal RNA (468 nucleotides) under uncultured bacterium. RNAcentral's name for it is "partial 16S ribosomal RNA". It matches the Rfam family "Bacterial small subunit ribosomal RNA", at positions 28 to 507 of the family's 1533-position model. The record is from RNAcentral.
GACGAACGCUGGCGGCGUGCCUAACACAUGCAAGUCGAACGGAAAGGCCCUGCUUUUGUGGGGUGCUCGAGUGGCGAACAGGGGAGUAACACGUGAGUAACCCGCCCCUGACUUUGGGAUAACUUUAGGAAAAUGGGGCUAAUACCCGAUAUGAGCUCCUGCUGCAUGGUGGGGGUUGGAAAGUUUCGGCGGUUGGGGAUGGACUCGCGGCUUAUCAGCUUGUUGGUGGGGUAGUGGCUUACCAAGGCUUUGACGGGUAGCCGGCCUGAGAGGGUGACCGGCCACAUUGGGACUGAGAUACGGCCCAGACUCCUACGGGAGGCAGCAGUGGGGAAUAUUGCACAAUGGGCGGAAGCCUGAUGCAGCAACGCCGCGUGCGGGAUGACGGCCUUCGGGUUGUAAACCGCUUUCGCCUGUGACGAAGCGUGAGUGACGGUAAUGGGUAAAGAAGCACCGGCUAACUACGUG